RNAcentral lists this ribosomal RNA (254 nucleotides) under uncultured bacterium. RNAcentral describes it as "partial 16S ribosomal RNA". It matches the Rfam family "Bacterial small subunit ribosomal RNA", at positions 524 to 776 of the family's 1533-position model. The record is from RNAcentral.
UACGUAGGGAGCAAGCGUUGUUCGGAUUUACUGGGCGUAAAGGGCGCGUAGGCGGCGCGGUAAGUCACUUGUGAAAUCUCUGAGCUUAACUCAGAACGGCCAAGUGAUACUGCAGUGCUAGAGUGCAGAAGGGGCAAUCGGAAUUCUUGGUGUAGCGGUGAAAUGCGUAGAUAUCAAGAGGAACACCUGAGGUGAAGACGGGUUGCUAGGCUGACACUGACGCUGACAGCGCGAAAGCUAGGGGAGCGAACGGG